AGAAUCAACUAGUACUUUAAAAAAUAGCCUAGGCGCAAGAUCCCCCUCCCCUCUUUUUCAAAAUACUUCAUAUAUGAAACCAAUGAAUACGAUAAGGAAGAAGUAGCUUCAACUUUGAGAAGACAUUUCGUGCAGGCCUAGUAACUAUGAACUAGCUAUGUCAUUCUUAUGAAUGUGUGUGUACCAACUCACAAUCAAGCUCGAUUGGACGAGUAAAAUAGAUGUGGUGGUGGUGUUUAAUGUCUCAUCUCGGCCUUAGGUUCUAGAACCUUAAGACAAUGUUUCUUAGCUUACUGCGAAGUUCAAGACCUUAUGCACCAUGUUUGGCUGCAUCAAUUGUAUUCAUGAGAAUAUAGGUGGGCUGAAUCAAUAUUAGGCUAUGAGAGUAAAUGUACUCAAAGGAGAUGAGUGUUUUGAUAAUGAACAAGGUUCGGCCGUCUGAAUGCAGAACUACAAAUGCACCCAAGAGUAACCAAUCAUAUAAUACUUCACUUCGUUGACAGACUAAUAAAGUGACCUUUUGGGCAAAAGAAUUAAGAAUUCUUCUCUUAUCGAGAUUUGGAUAGAUAACCAACCAACCUAGAAGCAGUACUGUUGACUUAUCCAAAAAUAAGGUGCUCAUAUGUUGCUUGAUUCUACAACGUCAGUGUCGUUUACUUAUCAAAACUAAAGGUAUUGCUGGUUGUCAACAAAAUGUUGUUUACUUAUCCAAAUUGUAGAUGUCUUGAUAGGAAGGUUAGAAUAGUUAGUGUUUUUCUCAUGGUAUGAUAAGGGUUUCCCGUAGAACGUGGGUUUUUGCAUAGAUCGUUUGAGUUGUUUGUUAGGUUGAAUGGUGCUUUUCAUGUUGUUG
This 850-nucleotide long non-coding RNA is filed under the name Malus domestica (apple). RNAcentral describes it as "long non-coding RNA (MDOM_LNC016618)". The record is from RNAcentral. Lineage: Eukaryota; Viridiplantae; Streptophyta; Magnoliopsida; Rosales; Rosaceae.